Molecule: ribosomal RNA, 754 nt
Filed under: uncultured bacterium
Lineage: Bacteria
Description: bacterial SSU rRNA
Rfam family: Bacterial small subunit ribosomal RNA
Source: RNAcentral
UNUGACUUGAGUGCAGAAGGGGAGAGUGGAAUUCCAUGUGUAGCGGUGAAAUGCGUAGAUAUAUGGAGGAACACCAGUGGCGAAAGCGGCUCUCUGNUCUGUCACUGACGCUGAGGCUCGAAAGCGUGGGUAGCGAACAGGAUUAGAUACCCUGGUAGUNCACGCCGUAAACGAUGAGUGCUAGGUGUUAGGCCCUUUCCGGGGCUUAGUGCCGGAGCUAACGCAAUAAGCACUCCGCCUGGGGAGUACGACCGCAAGGUUGAAACUCAAAGGAAUUGACGGGGGCCCGCACAAGCGGUGGAGCAUGUGGUUUAAUUCGAAGCAACGCGAAGAACCUUACCAGGUCUUGACAUCCCGAUGCUAUUCUUAGAGAUAGGAAGUUACUUCGGUACAUCGGAGACAGGUGGUGCAUGGUUGUCGUCAGCUCGUGUCGUGAGAUGUUGGGUUAAGUCCCGCAACGAGCGCAACCCUUAUUGUUAGUUGCCAUCAUUAAGUUGGGCACUCUAGCGAGACUGCCGGUGAUAAACCGGAGGAAGGUGGGGAUGACGUCAAAUCAUCAUGCCCCUUAUGACCUGGGCUACACACGUGCUACAAUGGUCGGUACAACGAGUUGCGAGCCGGUGACGGCAAGCUAAUCUCUGAAAGCCGAUCUCAGUUCGGAUUGAAGGCUGCAACUCGCCUCCAUGAAGUCGGAAUCGCUAGUAAUCGCGGAUCAGCACGCCGCGGUGAAUACGUUCCCGGGCCUUGUACACAC